CACGUAGGGGGCGAGCGUUGUCCGGAAUUACUGGGCGUAAAGGGCGCGUAGGCGGCUUUGCAAGUCAGUAGUGGAAGUCCAUUUUUCAAGGAUGGAAGUGCUACAGAAACUGCGGAGCUAGAGUGUGGUAGAGGAUGGCGGAAUUCCCGGUGUAGCGGUGAAAUGCGUAGAGAUCGGGAGGAACAUCUGUGGCGAAGGCGGCCAUCUGGACCAACACUGACACUGAGGCACGAAAGCGUGGGGAGCAAACAGGAUUAGAUACCCGUGUA
RNAcentral lists this ribosomal RNA (269 nucleotides) under uncultured prokaryote. Its description in RNAcentral is "partial 16S ribosomal RNA". It matches the Rfam family "Bacterial small subunit ribosomal RNA", at positions 524 to 792 of the family's 1533-position model. The record is from RNAcentral.